Molecule: ribosomal RNA, 465 nt
Filed under: Vreelandella stevensii
Lineage: Bacteria; Pseudomonadati; Pseudomonadota; Gammaproteobacteria; Oceanospirillales; Halomonadaceae
Description: partial 16S ribosomal RNA
Rfam family: Bacterial small subunit ribosomal RNA
Source: RNAcentral
CCUACGGGGGGCUGCAGUGGGGAAUAUUGGACAAUGGGGGGAACCCUGAUCCAGCCAUGCCGCGUGUGUGAAGAAGGCCCUCGGGUUGUAAAGCACUUUCAGUGAGGAAGAACGCCUGGUGGUUAAUACCCAUCAGGAAAGACAUCACUCACAGAAGAAGCACCGGCUAACUCCGUGCCAGCAGCCGCGGUAAUACGGAGGGUGCGAGCGUUAAUCGGAAUUACUGGGCGUAAAGCGCGCGUAGGUGGCUUGAUAAGCCGGUUGUGAAAGCCCUGGGCUCAACCUGGGAACGGCAUCCGGAACUGUCAAGCUAGAGUGCAGGAGAGGAAGGUAGAAUUCCCGGUGUAGCGGUGAAAUGCGUAGAGAUCGGGAGGAAUACCAGUGGCGAAGGCGGCCUUCUGGACUGACACUGACACUGAGGUGCGAAAGCGUGGGUAGCAAACAGGAUUAGAUACCCCUGUAGUC